RNAcentral lists this ribosomal RNA (253 nucleotides) under uncultured bacterium. RNAcentral's name for it is "partial 16S ribosomal RNA". It matches the Rfam family "Bacterial small subunit ribosomal RNA", at positions 524 to 776 of the family's 1533-position model. The record is from RNAcentral.
GACGAAGGAUGCAAGCGUUAUCCGGAUUCAUUGGGUUUAAAGGGAGCGUAGGCGGACUUAUAAGUCAGUGGUGAAAUCUCUGGGCUUAACCCAGAAACUGCCAUUGAUACUGUAGGUCUUGAGUACAGUUGCCGUUGGCGGAAUAUGACAUGUAGUGGUGAAAUACUUAGAUAUGUCAUAGAACACCGAUUGCGAAGGCAGCUAACGAAGCUGUAACUGACGCUGAGGCUCGAAAGUGCGGGGAUCAAACAGG